GGAGCCUGGGGAGUCCCGGGACCGACGGCGGCGGGGAUGCGGGUCUGCCUGUCCCUGGGAUGCGGGCGGGCGGGCAGGGCGAGGCCUGGAGCCCGCGGGGCGCAGGGGGCUGGACCGCGCGCUGUGAUUUUUCUGUUUAGCAGCGGGGCCUCGCCCAAGGUCGCGCGGGGCCUGUCCUGGAUAUGCUCUGGGAAGCCAGUGGCGCAGGGCAGCCGCCACCCUUCUGGAACCAGUGCCGGAGAGGGCCGGGCAGCUGGGCCUGGGGAGGGGACCGCAUGGAUGGAGCUGGGGGUAGCUGGGCGGCCUCCGGAGCCGGGAGAGUCGGCAGCUGCACUUCCGCCAGAGGUGGGUGUGUCCUUCACAUUUCAGGAAGGGAGACUUGGGGCCUGGAGAAGCGAUGUGAUUUUUCUUUUCUAGUUCAGUGCUGGUUUUGAUGGCUUUUUAUCAUGACCUUGUUAUGUCUUAUUUUAGUUUCGGCCCAUUUAGUGGAUACGACAACAGUGGCCCAGGGAGGUAUGGCAGAGCUGAGGCUUAACCCAGGGCCUGCGCCCUCCACGGCCUGCACUGCCCCACCUCCAGCUCCUUGCCCUGUUCCUCCCUCUGCACCGGAUCAGCCCCCGGACUCUGGGUCACCUCCACACCAGUUGACAGGGCCCCCCAGUCCCCACCGCCAACCACCUGGCCGGCUACUUGUCAGACAGACAUGGGGGCGUGGGCAUGGGUCCCCACCCCUAGCCUUUGCCUCUGUCACUCUACCUGCCUGGAAUGUCUACUUUUUCUUUAUAUUUUAUUUUAUUGUAUUUUUGAGACAGUCUCAUUGUCGCCCAGGCUGGAGCGCAGUGGCGCGAUCUUGGCUCGCUGCAACCUCUGUCUCCGGGGUUCAAGCGAUUCUCGGGCCUUAGCCUCCCGAGUAGCUGAGACUACAGGCGUGCACCACCAUGCCUGGCUAAUUUUUGCAUUUUUGGUGGAGACAGGGUUUCACCAUGUUGGCCAGGCUGGCCUGAACUCCUGACCUUAAGUGAUCCACUCGCCUAGGCCUUCCAAAGUGCUGGGAUUACAGGCGUGAGCCACCUCACCCAGCCUGGAGUGUCUCAUCUUCCACCACUAAAUGAAACGAUGGACCCUGAACAGAAAAAGGAACAGUGGUGGAAGAACUAGCAAAGCCCACAGCCUUGAGUUUGGCCGUAAGUAUCAAGGUUAAUCUCUCAGUUAUGGCAGUUGUCCCAUGACCGUGUAAGAUGCCAGGUUAGGGGACACUGGGAAUAGAGCAUUGGGAAACCUUCCCACUGUCUUUGCAACUUUUCUGUAAGUUUAAAGUUCUCCCAUAAUAAAAAGCUAACUUGAAUCCAAGGCAAGCAAAGCUUCCCUACUCUCAGCCCACCUCCCUCUUCUCCCACACCCUUUUGGACAGAUGAAAUGCAAGGUGAUGGCCCUGUUUCCUGAAGCUCUUUCCAGGGCCUGGCUGGCUCCCUUGGGCAGGUCUGGAGUGGGCUCUGCCUCUUCAGGAACAGUGGUCCCAAGGCUGGUCCCGGUGGGCAAGGCUGGUUUCCUGCAACUCGGCCUGGCUGCCUCUGAGUUUUGGCUCAAGGGACAAGGCCAGGGUCCCACACUUCUGUCUCCUGGCUGGUGCCCAGCUUGGGGCUUGGUUCUCCUGCCCCACUGCGCAGACUGAAGCUCAGAAGGCUCAGCUGGCUGCCCCCCACCCCACCCCUGCGGAGUCACUGGGCAGCUGGCUGUGAGUGGCCAGGUGCUGCUUGUUUGGUCCCAGGACCAGGUCUCUGCAUGUGUUGUCCAAUUCUCACCUGGUCCCCAGACCAGGUCUCUGCAUGUUUUGUCCAAUUCUCACCUGGUCCCCAGACCAGGUCUCUGCAUGUUUUGUCCAAUUCUCACCACUGGAGGAGAGUCCCAGACUGUGGAGUUUUCACAGGGAGGGAAACUGAGGCAGUCUCCUGGGUCAGGGUAAUUAGCCAGAAACAAGGUCACAUUCUGGGAGGUCAGAAGGUUCUGGAGGGCGGUGUGGGCACUCUACACGAGGGUUAGGGGCUUGAAUGCACACAGACACUCAGGCCGAGAGUCCCUCAACCCCACUCCCCUGCCCCGCCCCACCCCCGCUGCUCCAGGCCUUCUGGAGACAGGAUCCCUGUUGCAGUUUACCUGAGGCUCCCCAUCCCCGCUGUGAGCAGGAACCAAGGAGGCCCCUGGAAGAGCCCUGAGCUGGGAGUCGGACACCUGGGUUCUGGGCCCGGCUCAGCCCUGUGCCUGCCACGUGACCUCUCUGUACCCCAGUUCCUGUCAAAAAAGAGGAGAGGGCUCUGCGAUGUGAGAUGUGUGGCCCAUCAGGGGCUCUGAGGCUGCUUGCCCUCCCGUGUGGACAGGAAGUCUGGGGACAGGAGGCCGUCAGGUGGCCCAGCAAACCCCCCAGGCGUCUUGCCUGACACCCAGGGGCUCAGUUUUCGGUGAUGAGUAAGACGUGCUCAGUGCCUCUGUGUGUCGUGUGUGAGACCUGAGACCAGGGUGCCUGCUCCUCCCUCUGUUCCCAAGGGCAUAGCCCCAGGCCCGUUUGUGACCCUCCACUGGGCCCGAGAAGAAGGCUCCUUUCCCCAGGCCUCAUUCCCCUGUGGCCUCCCAGAGCCGCACGGAGUGGGGAGGGUCUGCUCUCCACCUGGCCAUUGUGGACCCCACCCCAGGAGCUCCGGCCGCCCCCCCCCCCUCCAGUCCCACUCCUUCCUCCCCAGAGGCAGCGAGGCCUGAAGUUUGUGUUUCCCCUCAGGGUGGUUCUUAGCUGCGGUCACAGAUUGCAGGGGAGGAGCCAGAAACGGAGAUGAAACCGAGGAGCCCCCACCCUCUUCACAGGGCUAAAGCCAGAAACCACCGUCCCAGGCCACAGCCUGCCUCAUGUGGCCAUGCCUGCUCCCUGGCAGUGCGCGUCCUGCAACCCUUCCCACCCCAGGGCCUCGGCUUCCGCAAUGAAUCCCCAUGUUUCAAAUCCCCGCUGCUCCCAAGGCUACCUGCUGCCUCGGGGUAGAAUCUAAGCCCCUUCCCCUGGUGCUGGAGGCCCACAGAGUGGGCGCUGCCUGUCCCUCCACUCCUUCAGCGCCCUGACCACCGUCUGGCUGUUCCUUUGCCCCCAAAGCUGUCCCACUGGCUGCCUCCUCCUGGCAUGCCCCCAUGCCACCCACGACCUCCCAUCAACUCCUAUUGAUUAUUAGCUUCUUUCACCCACUCUCUGCCCUAGAGCAUUGGUUCUUGGGGCACAGCAUCCUUGUCCUCCACAGUGAAGCUGGUGCCCCUGUACCUGGCAUAGCCCCUGUACCUGGCAUAGCCCCUGUACCUGGCAUAGCACCUGCCCAGCAGCUGCUCGUGCAGGAAGCCCAAGUAGGGGUGGAAUAGAGAGGGAGGAGUUCCCAGCCCUGGAGGAGGGAGCGCAGAGGAAGGCUAGGCCGAUUCGCAGCUGCCUCCUAUCUCAAAAACGUGGAAGGGGCUAUAACUCUAGGGCUGGGAGGGAGGGGAGUCGUUUUCGCUGACUCUCCGCACGGACCCUCUCCUGCCCGCUAGCUGGUCAGCUCCUCCAGCUCUCCCCGCGGCAGCAGGCCGGGGAGCAGAUGUCUUGUCCAGUGUGCGCGGGGCACCGAGGUAGGGAAAGCCUGUUUAACCCGUCCCGCCCCUCCUGCUCUGGCCAGCAGCUCGCCCAAGCAGCUCUGCAGAGCGACUAGGUCAGGGCCUCUCCAGGUGUCUCCACUCGAGGGACGGCUGGCGCCACGCGGAAAAGGGGAAGCGGGUCAGGGCGGGACAAGGGCAAGAGGUUACUGCUCUGGGCGCUGUGUCCUAAGGGCUGCCUCUUGUCUGCGGAGAAUGGAGGGUGCCGGGGGUCAAGCCCGGACUCUGUCAGGGUACCCGAGUCUUAGCCACGCCAUCCUUCCCCAGCGCGCCGCGGGGGCGGGCACAGCAGGGCGGGCGUGGCUGGGAGACCGGCUGUGCCUCGCCGCCCCGCCCGUCCCAGGCCGGGAAGCUGGGACUUGAGCUGGUCUGCAUUCGGGCAAGGUGAGCCCCGGGAUGUUUCUCAGGCAGGGCCCAGGGCUGCACGCCCUAACUUGGUGCGGGGUCGCGGCGGUCCAGCCCGGCUGCACGUGGUCGCGCGCUCCUUGCAGCUCCCAGCCCGCCGGCCCGCGCUCCUGCGCCCCCUCCCCACGCAGUCGACCUCUCCUGACCGCCAGGUGCACGCAGGGCGCGGGCCUGGGCCUCAGCUCCGCGCACUCCCCCCGGGACGCGGCACCGGGGCUUCGGGUGGGCCCAGGACCCGCACUCAGCACGCACUUCCCCCGCCGAGCACUGUCUGGCAGCGGGGACGCACCCCCAGGACCACGAGCUCGGAGGCCUGGGGCCGGGAGAUGGCGCCCGUGGAGUGGGUCCCGCGAGAAGGCCGGGAAUGGCGGGCCGCUGUCGUUCCCACCUGGGCCGCCAGGUGGGUGCCGCUAUCGCCGCGAGGCCGCACCUGUCGCGCUGCCGGAGCCCGCGCCUGCCCAGGAGCGCCAGGAGGGACCCCCGCUCCUCCCUCCGCCACUGGGCGGGGCCGGUCGCUGAGUCACGGCCGCACACCGGACGGUGACAGAGGCAGGGCUGCCUGGGGAGGGGCCGGUGACCUCAGUCAGGGCUGACGCGGAAAAGUGGGAUGGGGUCACCCGUGGCAGUGGAUGAGGGGGUGGCCCGGGCCUCCACUCACUGCCCACGCUAGAUGUCCGGGGUCCCUCCUGCGACCGAGGACAGGAGGCACCCACAGAGGACCCCAACACGAGGACCCUGGCCCUGGGUGCGGGGCGUUUUUCCCGCACUCUGCUCCCCUAGCAGAUGGCCCCUGCUAAGCACCAGCUCCCAGAAAAGGAAAGGAAGGGGCUGAGAGGCUGGAUCGAGGCAACCCAGCAGGAAAAGGUGGCUCCAGGGCUGGAGGGGUGGGACUCAGAGAUCUCACUACAUACACCUGCUGGGGACAGAGGCUUCUCCGGCCUUCCCAGGGCUGGGCCAGGCCGUGGCAGGGGCCGCCCCAGACCUGUGUCCCAAGGGGCCAGGUUGUUUGCGGCUGGGCUGGCUCCGGGAAAGUCAGAGGGGGCACUGCCGGACAGGGGAUGUCCAGUGCCACACCAGGGCGGUCACACUUCCUCCUGGGGCCGUGGGGACACAGGAAGGCCUAGGGGAGGGGUGGGGGGAGAACACACUCAGGAGGUGACCCUGAAGGUGGAGAGGCCCGAGCUGGGGUCACACCAUGCCCAGGGAAGGAUCAUGGUUGGCCCAACCCAUGUGUCCACUUGGUCUGUGGGAGGGAAUCACCCUGGGGAGCCCCCUAUGCCUGGCCCCCACCCACACACACCUUGGGCUCUCUUGAAGGUUAACUGUGCCCAGCACCUUGACAAGCCCCAUUUCCUCCAGUCCUUAGGACAAGGCAUCCUUUGGGGGCGUCACCAAGCUGGGAAGGUGAGCCCCCGAGUCAGUGUUGAGUUUGCGUAUCGGCAAGUGCCUUGAGCUCACACCCCUGGAACUGGCAGUUUGGUGAGAGAUGGAAUUUCAAGUUGAGAACUGGCCUGGGAUUUUGAACGCUUAGUCCCUGUCUCUUGCUGGCACUGCUGCUGAUGAGAAAUGAAUGUCACUGGAUUCCUGAUCCAGAGUCCAGGUGUUGUGUUUCUCUAAGAGCCUUCAGGCUUUUCCUUGCUGAUCUAAAACUGCUUCAUGUCCCUGGUGAUGCUUUUGCAUUCAUUAUCUUGGCUACUUCCUAGGCCCUGUUCUUGCUAAUUUGCUUGUAUUAUUUCUUUUACAAUUUCUUUCUUUUGUUUUCUGUUCUUCUGUUUUGGGAUUUCUGUUAAUUGGGCAUUAUACCUUCUGGAUUUAUUCUCUAAUAUUCUAGUUUUUUUCUUCUGUCUACUUUUUUAAACCUUCUGGGAUAUUUCCUUGACUUCUAACCCUUCAGCGGAGUUUUUCAUUUUAUUUAUUAUAGUUUUUAACCUUUUGGUUUUGAAAUUUUUUUUUCUUUUUUUGAGACAGAGUUUCACUCUUGUUGCCCAGGCUGGAGUGCAAUGGUGCGAUCUUGGCCCACCGCAACCUCUCCCUCCCAGGUUCAAGCGAUUCUCCUGCCUCAGCCUCCCUAGUAGCUGGGAUUACAGGCAUGUGCCACCACGCCUGGCUAAUUUUUGUAUCUUUAGUAGAGACAGGGUUUCUCCAUGUUGGUCAGGCUGGUCUCAAACUCCCGACCUCAGGUGAUCCACCCGCCUUGGCCUCCCAGAGUCCUGGGAUUACAGGCAUAAGCCAAGCCCAGCUUUUUUUUUUUUUUUUUUGAGACAAGGUCUUAUUCUGUCAUCCAGGUUAGAGUGCAUUGGUGCCAUCUCAGUUCACUGUAACCUCGACCUCCCAGGCUCAAGCAAACUUCCCACCUCAGCCCUCUCCAUCCCCCAGCAGCCAGGACUACAGGUGUAUGCCACCAUGCCUGGCUAAUGUUUGUAUUUGUAGUAGAAAUAGGGUUUUGCCAUGUUACCCAAGCUGGUCUUGAACUCCUGGGUUCCAGCAGUCCACCCGACUUGGCCUCCCAAAAUGCUGGGAUUACAAAUGUGAGCCACCACACCCAGCCUUUGUUUUGAAAUUUCAAACUUACCUCGUUUUAAACAUCUUGACACAUUUGCUUAUCAUUCUCCUUCUAUUUCUGAGCCCUUUGGAAGCAGGUUUCAGGCAUGAUGCCCUUACUAUUUUAGGGUGUGUUUCCUAAGAACAAGGAUGUUUUCUUCUAUAACCACAGAACAGUGAUCAAAAUCAGGCAACAUCAGUAUCACACUGUUUAUCCAAUUGACAGGCAAUGAUGGCGUGGAUCAUACAACUUCGGUAAUGACACUUGUCCCAGAAAUGUCCUCCGUAGUGUGUUUUCCUCAUCUAAUCCAAAAUCACGUUAUAACGUUUUGUUGUCAUAAACUUUUUUUUUUGAAACGGAGUCUCACUCUGCACUCUGUUGCCCAGGCUGGAGUAGAGUGGCACGAUCUCGGCUCACUGCAACCUCCGUCUCCUGGGUUCAAGCAAUUCUCCUGCCUCAGUCUCCUGAGUAGCUGGGAUUACAGGCGUGGACCACCACACCCAGCUAUUUGUUGUAUUUUUAGUAGAAAUGCAGUUUCACCAUGUUGGGCAGGCUGGUCUCGAACUCCUGACCUCGUGAUCCGCCUGCCUCGGCCUCCAAAAGUGCUUGAAUUACAGCCCGGCCAAACUAUCAUACUUUUAAUUCCCAAGGCCUCUCUUGUUCUCUGCACCAUUUCAUUAACUAUAGGCAAUGAGACUUUUUUAGAAAGCAGACCAACUUGAAUGCAUGGAGCUGAGUGGCGUGGCGUUGUCCCCAAGGGAGCUGGGUGACACCACGAUGGUGACCAUGUGCAGAGCCCUUCUCACCGUAGAGUGAUAAAUGGUCCGUUUCUGUUUUGUCCCAGAAGUCAGAGGUAGAGUUAAUUCCUUUCCUUUCCCCAGCACGGUUCCUGGCACACCUGGCACUCCCUAAGUGCCUGUGAUGGUUGGUUCUUACGUGACUGAACUUGCGGGUGGACGUGGCAUUACACGUGGGCAGGGCGUAUGUACACCUGUGUGUGUGUGUAGAUGCAGGUUCGCAGGGGCUGGGCAGAGGCCGCCACCUGCAGACCUGUGGGCUCGUUCACGCCAGGUGUCCAUGUCUGUGGUGUGCCCCUGUGUGUAAGUCCAGCUGGGCUGUAGACAGCCAUCUCUUCUCUGAAAGUUGAUCUGUUCGUCACUCUAAGCCCCAAGCAGCCAGGGGCUCAUGGGAUUUUCAUGAACACUCUCCUCCUGUCCCCUGCAUGUGCAAAGGUCCUGGGGCUCAGGGGUUGGAGGCUCCAUCGCCCCAGUGGUUGUGAGGCAUCUGGGCUUGUCCAGACACCUUCGCUUCUGCCCUCGGGGUCCCUUUGGGGACUUUUGUCCUUGCUGGGGUCCAGAGUUUUCUGGCAAGGCCUAGAGCCCUCUUCCUCCCCUCCCCUUCCAGGCACAGCCCCCCACCAGCACCUUAUGAUUUCACAGAAGACAAAAGCCAGCAGACUGUGUGGGCUGUCUGCCCUGAGAGUUCCAAGGCGAGGCUCCGGAGCAGCCAGCCGUGAACCCCAACUGCAGUUCGGGAAGCUGCUUUCGGGGAGGGGCAGGGAGGGGAGGGGGAUUCUCGGAGCAGGCAGGCAGCCACGCUGGAGAGCCCCUCCCCAAGCUCUUCAUUCCAACCCUGCCCUGCCCCCUGCCUUGCCGAUGGAGCCUGUCACCCUAAACCUGGCCUCAGUAAACCAACCCAGGCCAGAGAAAGAGAAGUGCGGCCCCCUCGCCCGUGUAAGUGGAACUGCAGCGGAGCCGAUAGCUCAGCCAUGAAAAAAUCAUGAGGUCGCCAGGCUGCAGGUCUGUGCUCAGGAAUAACACCCGGGGCUGGGCCCCUGGGAGUAGGUGCUGGGCCAGGAGUGAGGACAUCAAGGCCCGGUGUGCCCAGCAGGGUGGCCCUCACCUGGCUGCAGGGCCAAGGGGACAACAGAGCCUAGGCAGGGGCUUGGCACGGGGACAAGGGGGAGGGUGGAGUACCUGGGAAUCACUGGAGACAGGGAUGCCAACAGGAGUGGCAGCGGUCAGGGCCUGGCACUGAGGUGGGGGCUCCUCCGAUGCCUGCAGGGAGGGCUGCAGGCACUGCUGGCCUGUGAAAGGCGUGGUCCUCAGCCGCGGGGUGGCCCCAGGGCUCCAUUUCCCAGUUUUCAGGGCUCCAGUCCAGCAGGGCGAGGAGCCACCUCUCCCCCAGCUGCACACACGCAGGCCUGUGCCAGCUCACACCACCAGCAUCAGCGUUGCAGGGCAUCCAGCCUGGAGCACGUGCCGGUCACCAUGGCAGCAGACAGCGUGCCAGCAGGAGCCCAGGCUGGGCUCAAGCAUCCAGGAUCAGUGGUCUAGGCAUGGGGGGCUUGGGGUCCUUCCCCUUGGAGCACCAGACGGGCCAACUCGGGGAGGGGAAGGGGGACCCUGGAGCACCAGGACAGCCCGUCCACCAGCACCUCAGAAAGGGAACGAUUUCCUAAGGGCUCUCGGGAAACCUGAGGGUGGACACCAGGUGCCGGUGGGGGCGCAUGGCUUCCUGGUCCUGCCCAGCUGGCCCCGCACUGAGAGGGAUGGAGGCCGAGGCUCAGGCCUCGGGAGGCUGCCAGGGGAUUCUGAUGGCUGAGGCAUUCCUUGCCCUCUGGGCUCAGGUGAGGCCAGGAAGUCUGUCACAGCUGGCUGCUCCCUGGACCAGGGGGCUGGGGGUACUGCUACCCCAAACAGCCUCUCACUGCCCACCGGGACAAGGCACCCCCUCCCAGGUGCAGACCUCAGCUUGGGCCUCAGGCACACACUGGGCAGGGGCUUCCACCAGCCUCAGAGGUGGGCGAGGGUGGGGCGUGGAGCCCUCAGUGUGGCAGCGCCUUUGAAUGUCGCCACAGUGCAGCCUGCACAGGUCAGGGUGGCAGGCACGUGUGUAUCCCAUGUGAGUGGUUGGUUGGCACCUCCGGAGGUGUGGCCACAGGGCUUGGUGAGGGUCAGUGGGAGGGGUGCUUCCUGUUGCCUGAGAACACUGCAGGGGGCUAGAGUGCCCCAGCCCACCAUAUGCUCUUGUGAGUUGUGUAUGUCUGGAGUAUGAGUGGGACCCUGGAAAUAGCCUCCCUUGGGCAGUGUACAACCUGGGCUCCCUGCUGGGCAGCCCUGAGUAGGCUCUCAGGCUGGGAUCCAGGAUGACAGUCCCAGGGUCCAGAGUUGGCCCAGCAGGCGACUCUUCUGGCAACCUUUGCCCACCCUCAUCCAUGAGCACCUUCACACACACACACACACACACACACACCACACUCACACACAUGCACAACGCUGCACCCAUGGGCAGAGGCUCAGCCCAUCAUACAAGAACCCGGCCCUGUGCUGGGGUCCCAGCUGCUCAGGAGGCCAAGGUGGGAGGAUCGCCGGAGCCCAGGAGUUCGGGGCUGCCACUGGCCAAGAUAGCGCCACUGCAGUUCAGCCUGGGUGACAGAGCAAAACCCUGUCUCUAAGAUAAAUAAAAAGAACCAGACGGCCAGGCACGGUGGCUCACGCCUGUAAUCCCAGCACUUUGGGAGGCCGAGGCAGGUGGAUCACCUGAGGUCAGGUGUUUGAGACCAUGCUGGCCAACAUGGUGAAACCUCAUCUCUACUAAAAAUACAAAAACUAGCGGGGCGUGGUGGUGGGCGCCUGUAGUCCCAGCUACUUGGGAGGCUGAGGCAGGAGAAUCGCCUGAACCUGGGAGGUGGAGGUUGCAGUGAGCUGAGAUCACGCCACUGCACCCCAGCCUGGGCGACAGAGCAAGACUCUGUCUCAAAAAAAAAAAAAAAGGCUGUGCCUGGUGGUUCACGGCUGUAAUCCCAGCACUUUGAGAGGCUGAGGAGGCCAGAUCACAAGGUCAGGAGUUCGAGACCAGUCUGACCAACAUAAUGAAGCCCCGUGUCUACUAAAAAAUACAAAAAAAAUUAGCUGGGUAUGGUGGCAGGCGCCUGUAAUCCCAGCAACUCGGGAGGCCGAGGCAGGAGAAUCACAUGAACCUGGGAGGCAGAGGUUGCAGUGAGCCAAGAUUGUGCCAUUGCACUCCAGCCUGGGUGACAGUGUGAGACUCUGUCUGAAAAAAAUAAAAUAAUUAAUAAUAACCAGACUCCCGACAUCCAACAAUCUCAGGCACUUAUUAAGUACCUGCUGUGUGCCAGAAAUUUUGCUGAGAAUCCAGAGGAAGCGAUCCUAGCAGGUGGCUGGGCAACAGCCUGGGGUCCUGAGGUGGAGGCAGGAGGGGCUGGAAUCCCUGUAAACGGCCUCCCUCCAAGGAAGCCUGGCCCAGGCGCCCACCCUUCAGUCACCCUCCCCUGUUUAGCUCACACAGCUGGGUCAGUGCCAGGCAGCCCCACCCAACGUGGAGCUGUGGGGCCCUAGAACUGAGGAGCCGCCAUCAUUUCUGGCUCUGCCACCAAGAGGCUGCCCAGAGCCAGGCCCACUUAGUGCCGGGCGGCCAGGCUUCCCCCUGCUGAGCACCCGAUGCCUAAGCGCCCUGCCAGCCCAGACAGCGCUAAUGAGGCCGUCGUGCCAAUCAGAGGGGCAGGCCGCCUGGGCUCCUCCUCAGCCUGGCUGGGCGUUGGGGUGUGGAGGUGAAGCCAGUGUCUGUGCCUGGGGUGGGGGGGACCAUGGGCACAGCUGCCCCUCCGGCUUCCCCCACCGCUCACGGACCAACCGAGCUGUACCCUCAAAAUCCAACGGGAGGCCGGGCGCAGUGGCCACGCCUAUCAUCCCAGCACUUUCAGAGGCCGCGGCGGGCAGAUCACUUGAGGUCAGGAGUUCGAGACCAGCCUGGGCAACAUGGUGAAACCCCAUCUCUACUAAAAAUACAAACAUUAGCCGGGCACGGUAGCAAGUGCCUGUAAUCCCAGCUACUUGGGAGGCUGAGGCAGGAGGACUGCUUGAGCUCGAAGGUUCCAGUGAGCCAAGAUUGCGCCACUGGACUCCAGUUUGGGUGAGGAGCGAGACCCUAUUUCAAGAAAAAAGUUUUUUAAAAAGAAGAGCCAAUGGGAAAGUGAGGUGCAGGCAGCACCCUAGCUUGUAUCCCUAAACCAGAGACAGUUCCCUGGCAUCGGUGCUAGGCCUGUGUCCUCAGUCCCCUGGAAACUGUGGGAGAGUGUGUGUGGGCAUCGUCUCUGGGAAGGGGGUGAAACCCCAGACUGCGUCUCCCCAGGAUGGUGCCUGGCACGUGACCUGGUUUCGCACACAGUUGGUGCCUCAUAAAUGCGUGUGAAUCAUAGAGGCGGAUGAGGCCAGCACACAGGGAGAGGCGAGAGCAGGCCCUGGCGUCGUGGCGUACGCUGUGCCCUGGGGGGUAUUUGCAUGUGGGAGUCUCUCUGCCCCCACCCUGGCCCCUGAGCGUGGGGACAGUGGGGACAGGUCUCCUCUUUUUCCUCCCCUGUGUCUGCAGGUGCCUGGCACGGUUGCUGUCCAGGGCUUAGAGGACAGAGGAAGAGCCCCUGAGUCUGUGCACACUCUGCCACCAUGGCCCUGCCCACCUCUGGAGCCCACAGGUGCCCAGCCCAGGCCCCUUGCUUUUGGCUAGACUCCUGCCCUACGGGGACCCCCAUGAUGGCCACUCAGGAGAUGGGCCCAGGAGGACAGGGGAGUGACUCCAGGCCAUGACCGGAAGGGGCCUGUGGCCCCUGUUCCCAGUCCCCAGGGAGACGGGAGGGUCACACGCUGUUAUGAGGAAGAGGACACCGGGCUGGCCCUGGCCCAGGGUGGCCAGCUCUGGUUUCACUACUUGGCCCCAAGCCCCUGAGGCAGGUGCAGGAGCCAGGCACGGUGAGCAGGGCCCAGUGCCCCUCAGGCUCUGGGGAAGGGGUACAGCCAGGUGGCCCAGAGCAAGGAGGUGCUGUAGACAGGUGUGACCACUUCCAGUCUCUCCCGGCCUGCUGGCCUUCAUCCUCUCCCAGAUUCCAAGGGCCACCGCUGGGAGCAUGGGGUGGACAUCGUCCCACCAGCCUCCUGGAUCCACAUCCGUAAAGACUCCAAAGUGAAGUGAGGCUGGCUUCACUCCAGCUCACAGCAGAGGAGGGGGCAGCCUCAGGGCCCAGCAACUUGCUCAGAGCGCACAGGAGUGCGCUGGGGCCGGGCCAGCCUGGCCCAGGGCCUCUGACUCUGCCCCCUGCCUGCAGGGCUGCACGGCCACUGUGUUCCACCCUCCAGCGUGGGUGGCAGUCCAGUGCGUCAUUCUGGGGCCUGAGCAGUGUGGCCAGAGGCCGGUCUGGGGUGGAGGCGACCUGGGCUGCAGGUUGUGGCUGGGGUCCUUGCUAUGCUUCUGGCAGCAGGAAUCAGAGAAGCAGUAACUGGAUCCAGCUGAGGGCCUGGCGGCCACCGAGGGUACGGGCGGCGAUCAGGUUGCGGCCGAGCCGUGAGCGUUCCACUGGACGGCUUCUACAUCCGGAAGGGCUGGGCCGGGCCGGGCCGGGAGCCCACACGGGGUUGGAGGAGGGGGGCAGGAACGAGAGAGGCCAAAAGGUGCAGGGCCGUGAAGAGGGGCGCUGGGCCCACGCUAUGAGGAAAAGGGGAUCAACCCUGCCCUCCAGCCCCGUAGGCCCUCAGGCCCUCGGGCUCUGGGCUCUGUGCAAUCCGGGAGUGGCUGAAAUCCAAGCUGAGGGUAAUGAAAGGUGCUGCUCCUAAGCCGCACGUCUCUGAUCCG
Molecule: long non-coding RNA, 13249 nt
Filed under: Homo sapiens (human)
Lineage: Eukaryota; Metazoa; Chordata; Mammalia; Primates; Hominidae
Description: non-protein coding lnc-FSCN2-1:6
Source: RNAcentral